UAAUAAGUGUUUUAUGGCACUUUUUAAAUCCAUAUCCACCUUGUGUGCAAUGUCAGUCGAUCUUCUUUCAUGGAGAUCGACCAAACAUCAACCUUUAUUUUUAACACUUUGUCUGAAAAAUAUUAUGAAUAAACAAUUCAAAUA
This 144-nucleotide unclassified non-coding RNA is filed under the name soil metagenome. Its description in RNAcentral is "partial internal transcribed spacer 1". The record is from RNAcentral.